Molecule: ribosomal RNA, 340 nt
Filed under: Lacticaseibacillus casei
Lineage: Bacteria; Bacillati; Bacillota; Bacilli; Lactobacillales; Lactobacillaceae
Description: bacterial SSU rRNA
Rfam family: Bacterial small subunit ribosomal RNA
Source: RNAcentral
GGAAACAGAUGCUAAUACCGCAUAGAUCCAAGAACCGCAUGGUUCUGGGCUGAAAGAUGGCGUAAGCUAUCGCUGUUGGAUGGACCCGCGGCGUAUUAUCUAGUUGGUGAGGUAAUGGCUCACCGAGGCGAUGAUACGUAGCCGAACUGAGAGGUUGAUGGGCCACAUUGGGACUGAGACACGGCCCAAACUCCUACGGGAGGCAGCAGUAGGGAAUCUUCCACAAUGGACGCAAGUCUGAUGGAGCAACGCCGCGUGAGUGAAGAAGGCUUUCGGGUCGUAAAACUCUGUUGUUGGAGAAGAAUGGUCGGCAGAGUAACUGUUGUCGGCGUGACGGUAU